RNAcentral lists this non-coding RNA (108 nucleotides) under Gluconacetobacter sp. RNAcentral describes it as "SAM-I-IV sequence". It matches the Rfam family "SAM-I/IV (S-adenosyl methionine) riboswitch aptamer". Rfam says of the family: It is found upstream of a number of genes which code for proteins involved in methionine or cysteine biosynthesis. Lineage: Bacteria; Pseudomonadati; Pseudomonadota; Alphaproteobacteria; Acetobacterales; Acetobacteraceae. The record is from RNAcentral.
GGCCUGCAUCAAGAGUUGGGGCGACGCCCAACGCCAACCUGCCAUUCCGGGCAAGGUGGCGCUUCCGCAAGGAAGGAUGUGGCCCGACCGGCAACCAAACGGAACAAG